RNAcentral lists this ribosomal RNA (79 nucleotides) under Aeromonas veronii. Its description in RNAcentral is "partial 16S ribosomal RNA". It matches the Rfam family "Bacterial small subunit ribosomal RNA", at positions 1 to 77 of the family's 1533-position model. The record is from RNAcentral. Lineage: Bacteria; Pseudomonadati; Pseudomonadota; Gammaproteobacteria; Aeromonadales; Aeromonadaceae.
UUAAAUUGAAGAGUUUGAUCAUGGCUCAGAUUGAACGCUGGCGGCAGGCCUAACACAUGCAAGUCGAGCGGCAGCGGGA